This 84-nucleotide transfer RNA is filed under the name Candidatus Woesearchaeota archaeon. RNAcentral describes it as "tRNA-Leu". It matches the Rfam family "tRNA". Rfam says of the family: Transfer RNA (tRNA) molecules are approximately 80 nucleotides in length. The record is from RNAcentral. Lineage: Archaea; Nanobdellati; Candidatus Woesearchaeota.
GCUGGGGUACCGAAGUGGUCAAACGGGCAGGACUUAAGAUCCUGUGGCUUAGUGCCUACGCAGGUUCAAACCCUGUCCCCAGCA